CUAAUACCGCGAAGCUACCAUCUGUUGGAUUACGACUGAACGCCUCUAAGUCGGAAUCCAUGCUGGCUAAGCAGUGUUAUCCACCGCUUCCACAAUUACAUGACAAGCAUUAGGUUUCGACCCUGUUGCAUACGAACCACUUCUACCGCUAAAGGUUGUGUGGCUAAUCUCAAUUUCAAAUUUUGGAAGUGAUAAACCUUUUGCAGACGACUUAACUGAAUCCAGGUAUUGUAAGUGCUGAGAGUAGCCUUUGUGCUACGAUCCACUGA
Molecule: ribosomal RNA, 269 nt
Filed under: Ditylum brightwellii
Lineage: Eukaryota; Bacillariophyta; Thalassiosirophyceae; Lithodesmiales; Lithodesmiaceae
Description: partial Eukaryotic large subunit ribosomal RNA
Rfam family: Eukaryotic large subunit ribosomal RNA
Source: RNAcentral